This 402-nucleotide ribosomal RNA is filed under the name Phaeophyceae sp. Its description in RNAcentral is "partial small subunit ribosomal RNA". It matches the Rfam family "Eukaryotic small subunit ribosomal RNA", at positions 582 to 975 of the family's 1831-position model. The record is from RNAcentral. Lineage: Eukaryota; Phaeophyceae.
AUUCCAGCUCCAAUAGCGUAUAUUAAAGUUGCUGCAGUUAAAAAGCUCGUAGUUGGAUUUGUGGCGCGGCCGUCCGGCGGGGCUCCUUCAUUGGGGCCGUUUGUCUGGUUUUUCGGCCGCACCAUUCUCGGGUAGUGUGUCGCUGGCAUUAGGUUGUCGGCUUCUUCACGCCCGUCGUUUACUGUGAAAAAAUUAGAGUGUUCAAAGCAGGCUUAGGCCGUUGGAUACAUUAGCAUGGAAUAAUGAGAUAGGGCCACGACGGUCUAUUUUGUUGGUUUGCACGUUGUGGUAAUGAUUAACAGGAACGGUUGGGGGUAUUCGUAUUCAAUUGUCAGAGGUGAAAUUCUUGGAUUUAUGGAAGACGAACUACUGCGAAAGCAUUUACCAAGGAUGUUUUCAUCA